This 420-nucleotide ribosomal RNA is filed under the name Streptacidiphilus jiangxiensis. RNAcentral describes it as "bacterial SSU rRNA". It matches the Rfam family "Bacterial small subunit ribosomal RNA", at positions 28 to 452 of the family's 1533-position model. The record is from RNAcentral. Lineage: Bacteria; Bacillati; Actinomycetota; Actinomycetes; Kitasatosporales; Streptomycetaceae.
GACGAACGCUGGCGGCGUGCUUAACACAUGCAAGUCGAACGGUGAAGCCCUUCGGGGUGGAUCAGUGGCGAACGGGUGAGUAACACGUGGGCAAUCUGCCCUGCACUCUGGGACAAGCCUUGGAAACGAGGUCUAAUACCGGAUAUUACCCCUGGGGGCAUCCCUGGGGGUGGAAAGCUCCGGCGGUGCAGGAUGAGCCCGCGGCCUAUCAGCUUGUUGGUGGGGUGAUGGCCUACCAAGGCGACGACGGGUAGCCGGCCUGAGAGGGCGACCGGCCACACUGGGACUGAGACACGGCCCAGACUCCUACGGGAGGCAGCAGUGGGGAAUAUUGCACAAUGGGCGAAAGCCUGAUGCAGCGACGCCGCGUGAGGGAUGAAGGCCUUCGGGUUGUAAACCUCUUUCAGCAGGGAAGAAGCG